GUAGUUAGCCGGAGCUUCCUCCUUGGGUACCGUCAUUUCUUCGUCCCCAAGGACAGAGGUUUACAACCCGAAAGCCUUCUUCCCUCACGCGGCGUUGCUGGGUCAGGGUUUCCCCCAUUGCCCAAUAUUCCCCACUGCUGCCUCCCGUAGGAGUUUGGACCGUGUCUCAGUUCCAAUGUGGCCGAUCACCCUCUCAGGUCGGCUACCCAUCGCGGUCUUGGUGGGCCGUUACCUCACCAACUAUCUAAUGGGACGCGAACCCCUCUUAUACCGGAUUGCUCCUUUGACCUCAUCCCGAUGUCGGGUCGUGGUCUUAUGCGGUAUUAGCAACCGUUUCCGGUUGUUAUCCCCCUGUAUAAGGCAGGUUGUUCACGCGUUACUCACCCGUUCGCCACUAAGUUAUCAACCGAAUCAAUAACUCCGUUCGACUUGCAUGUGUUAGGCACGCCGCCAGCGUUCGUCCUGAGCCAGAAUCGAAACCUCGACACGUAGACGGCCGGUGCGAACGGACGGGCC
This 516-nucleotide ribosomal RNA is filed under the name uncultured bacterium. RNAcentral describes it as "partial 16S ribosomal RNA". The record is from RNAcentral.